GAUGAACGCUGGCGGCGUGCCUAAUACAUGCAAGUCGAGCGAACAGACGAGGAGCUUGCUCCUCUGACGUUAGCGGCGGACGGGUGAGUAACACGUGUAUAACCUACCUAUAAGACUGGGAUAACUUCGGGAAACCGGAGCUAAUACCGGAUAAUAUAUUGAACCGCAUGGUUCAAUAGUGAAAGACGGUUUUGCUGUCACUUAUAGAUGGAUCCGCGCCGCAUUAGCUAGUUGGUAAGGUAACGGCUUACCAAGGCAACGAUGCGUAGCCGACCUGAGAGGGUGAUCGGCCACACUGGAAGUGGGACACGGUCCAGACUACUACGGGAGGCAGCAGUAGGGAAUCUUCCGCAAUGGGCGAAAGCCUGACGGAGCAACGCCGCGUGAGUGAUGAAGGUCUUCGGAUCGUAAAACUCUGUUAUUAGGGAAGAACAAAUGUGUAAGUAACUAUGCACGUCUUGACGGUACCUAAUCAGAAAGCCACGGCUAACUACGUG
Molecule: ribosomal RNA, 497 nt
Filed under: uncultured bacterium
Lineage: Bacteria
Description: partial 16S ribosomal RNA
Rfam family: Bacterial small subunit ribosomal RNA
Source: RNAcentral